AUUGAACGCUGGCGGCAUGCUUUACACAUGCAAGUCGAACGGUAACAGGCCGCAAGGUGCUGACGAGUGGCGAACGGGUGAGUAAUGCAUCGGAACGUGCCCAGUCGUGGGGGAUAACUACUCGAAAGAGUAGCUAAUACCGCAUACGAUCUAUGGAUGAAAGCGGGGGACCGUAAGCCCUCGCGCGAUUGGAGCGGCCGAUGUCAGAUUAGGUAGUUGGUGGGGUAAAGGCUCACCAAGCCAACGAUCUGUAGCUGGUCUGAGAGGACGACCAGCCACACUGGGACUGAGCCACGGCCCAGACUCCUACGGGAGGCAGCAGUGGGGAAUUUUGGACAAUGGGCGCAAGCCUGAUCCAGCAAUGCCGCGUGCAGGAAGAAGGCCUUCGGGUUGUAAACUGCUUUUGUACGGAACGAAACGGCUCUGGUUAAUACCCGGGGCUAAUGACGGUACCGGAAGAAUAAGCACCGGCUAACUACGUG
This 482-nucleotide ribosomal RNA is filed under the name uncultured bacterium. RNAcentral describes it as "partial 16S ribosomal RNA". It matches the Rfam family "Bacterial small subunit ribosomal RNA", at positions 30 to 507 of the family's 1533-position model. The record is from RNAcentral.